Molecule: long non-coding RNA, 2290 nt
Filed under: Varroa destructor (honeybee mite)
Lineage: Eukaryota; Metazoa; Arthropoda; Arachnida; Mesostigmata; Varroidae
Description: uncharacterized LOC111251590
Source: RNAcentral
UCUACUAUUAUUAUUAUGAUUGUUGUUGACUCUCAAUGGGUGUCGGUGCUACGUUGGCGCCCACGUUACGUCCACACUAUGUCUCCGCCAUCGAGUGAGCAGACGAAGUCCAGUAUCACCUGCGUCUCUAUGAUGAAGUGCCACCUUUCACUGUAGGACUAGGUAUUUGAUUGCGGUGACGUCACGUUUAGCUAGCCCGACGACAACUAGAUUGUAAAAAAGCGCUAACGGCAUAGGCUGUCACUGCAGCGACGGGAGCGGCGUCACCUCCGAUCACAAGCUGUGAGAGUGUGUACGUGUGCAUGUCGGUGUAAAUGUGUAGAGGAAAAGGUGACGACAGUGAUACGGACGUUAUUUAAUAAGUAGAGCACUGGGAAGAUCAAGGACGUCAAGGACGCUCAUUUCCAACGCAAGGUUGAGACUGCCGCGUAUAAACAUCCUUUAGGGCGAAGCAGUAUUUCUAAUCGAAGAUUGAGCUCGUGGUUCAUCUUUCUCCCCACUGAGGUGCGAUAACGGAAACGACUCAAUACCUAGAUGUGACCGUUGGCCGAGAUUUCACAGGAAGCACCUACAUCUACGAAGUGACACGUAACGCGACAAGGGUGAGCAAUGGUAAAAACACAUUGGCGCUAAUUACCUUUCAGUCGAGUGUACAUAGAACAUUGUAAAAAAAAGAUGAGGGAAACAUGUUUGAAUAUGCACGGCAGAAAGCUAGCAUUUCAUUCAUUGAAAACUAUGUCUUGCUUUAUAGUAAUGUGUACGUAUAUAAUGUAUAGAGCAUAGAAAUGAGUACAUGUCAACUUGGAAGUUAUUAACUUAAUCGUAGCCAUGUUAAGGAAUGGUGUAAUUAGCAAACAAAACUUCACCGCGAACCGUGAACGCUUGAAUUAACCUUUCCUUAAAAAUAAUUACAUUAUCUUUUUUUUGCUACAUAAUAGUGAAAUCUAGAAAAAACGAUCUAGUAUAAACACCGGAGAGUGCUGCCGAUCCGAAAUCGACAGCACUCUCGAGUGUUUAGCUAGAGCAUAUUAAUAAUGUAAUCUAUUAAAAAUAACAACGAGAAAGAACGAGUAAGAGUAGAAAUAUGACAUAAUGAUGAGGCUCAGCCUCACUCCAGACAAAAACUUACUAGAACUAAAUGCUUCUACGUUUAUGUAUUGCAAGGCUUUUGUGUGUGAGCAAGUUUGCCGUCAUAUAACGUACCCUAUUCGUUCCGAUCGAUAACACACGUUCUGCGAUAAGGUUCGUUCUAAUGUCCUGGUAGUAGGUUAGGCAAUUCUUGAAAUGACCACAACAGAUCGUGACAAAAUCAGAUUUAUUCUAAUUUAUCUAGCAUCCAAAAUGGAAAUCGCCCAGAUACUGCAGCUAGCUCAAGUGCACUAGUGCUAAACAUCAAAUAAGUACUACUAACUAACAUGGUGAAACAAAAAAGGCAUUCAUGGUACUUCUAUAAAACAAUACCCCACUAUAUAUAAAUUAAUAUUAUAAUAGGCGAAAAAUAUAUAAAUUAGCUUUACUUACUCGAGAGAGAUCAUUGGCAAAAGUGGCUCCUGCUAAACGAAUGUAUAUUUCAUGUCAACUUCAAGCCCAAAUAAAGUGAGUAACCGGACAUCUUUAUACUAUCAGUUAAUUAAACUGAAGACGUGAUGUCUAGUUGGCACAAUUCUCCUGCAUGGGACAUGAUCGUUACAUGCGUGAAGGUUCAAUGCACGAUGUCUCCGUGUCGACGUCAACGGCGCGGUUCCAAUAAGACCAAUACGAAUAUACAUGAACGAAUGUUCGGCGUAGCAUUUAAUGCGGACCUCAUGCCUCAACGUCGAAGUUAACAAUCCUGUGCGUGAUAAAGGUGUACACUGAUCGAAUUCGUCAGUUAUAUAAUCGAGUUACAAGCUAACACAAAAAUAGAACACUAUCGUCUCGCAUGCCACCGAUAUCACAGAUAGGCUGGGGACUGAUCUCAUUUAUAGCUAGCGCUAGUAUUCCUACAGGCUGAACUCUACAUACAGUAGACACUAAGCGUAGUGGUCGCUGCCAGUUGAAACAUAACGAACUGGGCAGGUUCUAUACUAUUUUCGUGUAGUCGAACGCCAUUGGUGCACCGAAUCGAAUUUCUGUAUUUAGUCCCUGAACAAGUAGCGUUAGGUAGAAACAAGGAUAACGUUUUCUACGUGCUAGCCAAAAGGGUUAGAUGACCAAUCUGAUUUCAUUUUGCAUCCUCAAUGGAAAGGCCCGAACUGCGCGCUAUGAUGCCGAUGCUGAAUUGAUACGAUGCGUUGGCCAUGAAAGACGA